GCAGUGGUGGUCGAGUGGUUAAGGUGAUGGACUAGAAAUUUAUUGGGGUCUCCCUGCACAGGUUCAAAUCCUGUUGACUGCG
Non-coding RNA from Ixodes scapularis (black-legged tick), 82 nucleotides. Lineage: Eukaryota; Metazoa; Arthropoda; Arachnida; Ixodida; Ixodidae. The record is from Rfam.